UUCCUUCUUCUUCCCCUGAUCCCUAACGCCCUCCCCCUUCUCCUGAUUCUUUUCUCUUCCCCCAUCCCUGCCGCACUCCUUUUCCCCUCCUCGCGCCACCACUCGAAGCGAAAAUUGGCACCAGCCGAUCGUCGACCACGUUUCCCUUAUCUUCAUCUCGUCGCCGACACAAACAACUUGCGAAGCAUCCAGAUUCCUUCUUCAUUCACCCAACCACAGCCUCUUCCCCCUUACUCUUCUCUCCGCAUCGCCAUCGACUGCCACUGCCUGACGCCAACUACCAGCCACCCGUGUGCCACUUGAUCUCCUCUCUCCUGGUCGCAGACACCAUGUGCUCGUCGGAAGCUAAGCAUCUAAUCCCAUGUCUUCAGCCGAGCCCUAGAUGUCGACCCCCUAUCGACCGAGCAUGCUAGAUCUCUACUAGAAUUUGUUAAUCGUGUCGAAUCUCUGCUCGACAUUGCAUCUCCGAUCUUAAGGAUGAUCUACUCGGGUCGACCUCUUCCUCCUCCACUCCACAUCGCUGCUUGAUUUCGUUGGAUCCCUACUUAGUGUCGUCGUAGGAUCGCAUCAAGUUUUGGUUAGCCGUUGCUGAUUGAUUAUGCCAGUGCCACAUUGUCGCCGUUCUCUUCUCUGCAUUGUCUUGACACCAUAGCAACCACCGCUAGUCUCAUGGCCCUGAUUUUAUGUCACCACUGAAGCUCCUACAUCCUCCAUUCCACCGGUGACACAAAUUACCGCCUAGCUACCAGAAGUGGGUUCUUCCACAUGAAUUGAAUCUAUUGGCACAUAUAUGGGGUGCUAGAUUUGGAGACUCUCUAAUAUUUUAGAUCUGGCCAUAUUUUUCUAGCAGCGGGUGCUCCAUCGGCGAGUUAACAGGGAAGUACACGGGUAUAGGACGUUGAUUCGAGAUGAGCAUCUCGAAGUGGGAUUUGUUCCGAUACGAACUACUGAUUAAGGAGACAUUAUGGAUUUGGUCUGACGACCCUGCACCUGUUUGUAUGGUUCACACAUUUAUGUUCAGAUAGGAGGUCCUGGUGAGUAUAGUUUCUUCUGUUGUUCAGUUUUACAUUACUUGUUAUUGAUCAGGAGACUGUACUGCAUGGUUAUUACUUGUAGUUAUAUUUUACUAUACAUAUCUGCUUGAUACCCACUGAGUAUGUUAUACUCACUACCCCUUAUUUUUCUUGUUGAUUUCAGGUUAGCACAUAGAUAUGUUGUGUCGCUUAGAGUAUCUUGUCUUCAAGUUCCACGUCACAUCCGAGGACUAUUUCCAAUUUUAUCUCUGCUUUACUUGUCUUACGUUUUUGGUGGAGUUGGUGUUGUAUAAAUUCGACUUUGUUUUUAGAGUUUGCUAUGUGGAGUUUGUAUUUGUUUUGU
Zingiber officinale is the source of this 1377-nucleotide long non-coding RNA. RefSeq lists it as uncharacterized. The transcript is spliced from 4 exons. The record is from RefSeq and is a predicted model, not a curated record. NCBI's taxonomy places the organism in Eukaryota, Viridiplantae, Streptophyta, Magnoliopsida, Zingiberales, Zingiberaceae.